RNAcentral lists this unclassified non-coding RNA (433 nucleotides) under soil metagenome. RNAcentral describes it as "partial contains 5.8S ribosomal RNA, internal transcribed spacer 2, and large subunit ribosomal RNA". The stretch from base 1 to 120 matches the Rfam family "5.8S ribosomal RNA", at positions 35 to 154 of the family's 154-position model. The record is from RNAcentral.
GAUGAAGAACGUAGCGAAAUGCGAUACGUAAUGUGAAUUGCAGAAUUCAGUGAAUCAUCGAAUCUUUGAACGCAUAUUGCGCUCUCUGGUAUUCCGGAGAGCAUGCUUGUUUGAGUAUCAGUAAACACCUCAACUUCCAUAUCUUUUUUGAAAUGGGAGUUGGACUUGAGUGAUCCCAACGCUUUUCCUCACCGAAAAGUGGCGGGUUACUUGAAAUGCAGGUGCAGCUGGACUUUUCUCUGAGCUAUAAGCAUAUCUAUUUAGUCUGCCUAAAAAACAGAUUAUUACCUUUGCUGCAGCUAACAUAAAGGAGAUUAGUUCUUGUGCUGACUGAUGCAGGAUUCAUAAAGACAGGCUUCGGCCGACUUUGUAAACUCGAUCUCAAAUCAAGUAAGACUACCCGCUGAACUUAAGCAUAUCAAUAAGCGGAGGA